This 524-nucleotide ribosomal RNA is filed under the name uncultured bacterium. RNAcentral describes it as "partial 16S ribosomal RNA". It matches the Rfam family "Bacterial small subunit ribosomal RNA", at positions 28 to 523 of the family's 1533-position model. The record is from RNAcentral.
GACGAACGCUGGCGGCGUGCUUAACACAUGCAAGUCGAACGAGACGAUUGAAAGCUUGCUUUCGAAAGUCGAGUGGCAAACGGGUGAGUAACGCGUAGACAACCUGCCUUUGAGAUGGGGACAACCGUUCGAAAGGACUGCUAAUACCGAAUGUUGUAUAUUUUCCACAUGGAAGAUAUAUUAACGAUGGCCUCUAUUUAUAAGCUAUCGCUCAAAGAUGGGUAUGCGUCUGAUUAGCUGGUUGGUGGGGUAACGGCCUACCAAGGCGACGAUCAGUAGCCGGUCUGAGAGGAUGAACGGCCACAUUGGGACUGAGACACGGCCCAGACUCCUACGGGAGGCAGCAGUGGGGAAUCUUCCACAAUGGACGAAAGUCUGAUGGAGCAACGCCGCGUGAGUGAAGAAGGGUUUCGGCUCGUAAAGCUCUGUUGUCGGGGACGAAUGUGCAGUAUUUGAAUAAAGUACUGCAAUGACGGUACCUGACGAGGAAGCCACGGCUAACUACGUGCCAGCCGCCGCAGUAA